RNAcentral lists this long non-coding RNA (1192 nucleotides) under Helianthus annuus (common sunflower). Lineage: Eukaryota; Viridiplantae; Streptophyta; Magnoliopsida; Asterales; Asteraceae. The record is from RNAcentral.
AUGUGAACAGGGGGCAAUUUUGUAAAUACCCAAACAACUUUUAAAACAAGCGCAUAUGAUCGGACUUCAAUCAGAAAAUUAACUAUAUCCAAUAUUAUCUUUCACGUCCAGGAAAUAUCCCCAAUCUAUCUCCCCAAUCUGAACCUGAUUCUCUUUCACGAUUAUCUCAACAUUUCACCAUCAUAUCAAAUCAGUUCGUCUGUUACAAACAAAUACAUCAUCGACUCAAAUACAUAAUCACAUUCACCAUCAUCAGUUCACCAUUUCGAAGCAUUUGGAGUGACAUUUUAUCGGAGAUUUGAUAUUUUACAAGCAUAUAUUUCAGAUUUCGUCAUAUAAUUGAGAAUUGCACUGGAAAGAAAGUCGGAAAAGAAAAUGAAAAAAGUUACAUUUGUAUGAAAGUCGAGGGACGAAGAGUCAUCACUGUAAGACGCAGUCACAAGUCACAACAGAAAAAGUAUAUGUAUAGUAAACAAAAAGAUGUGAAAAAAGUUGUAAAAAAGGACAUGAAUGUGAGGAAUAAUAAAUGAAAACAGGUGGAAACACCAAACAAAGGUGUUGGUGAGGUACGCAUGACAAAGAACAGAAGGUUAUCAACAUCUAAAGUUGGUGAUAAAGAUGACAAUGUUGUUGAUGAAAAAAUUAGAAUGGGCAACAAGUGAUAAUUUCAACGAUUGCGGUGUGUUCGCUAUGCGACACAUGGAGAUGUACAAAGGGAGCGAUGUCAAGUUUGAAUGCGGUUUUAGUACGCGGAAAGAUAUUCAAGACAUGCAACUGAAAAACUUGAGGAUGAAGAUAGCAACAAAAUUGUUACUAUCAGAGGCAAACAUGUACAAGGAAACUGUUAUGUGACUUGCAAAAGAGACAACACGUGGUUUGAGAGAUGAAAAAAUGCAGAAAAUGUUAGACAAAGAGGCGGUGAAACAAGAAAAAUGUUGGAAUAUGCUUGACAAAUGGAAGAAUGAGGACAAAGUUUGAGGGUAUGAGUUAACACAGCAGGUUAUUAACUGUAGGAACAUAUAGUAUUUCUGUUUUGUAGGUGAUUUAUGUUAAUGAAACUAUUACUUUGUUUAAUUUUGUUUAUUUUAACACGUCAGAUGGUACUUUGUUAUAAUGUCGUUUAUAGUUUUGGUUAAAAGUUGUUGACAACAUAUGGUAUAGCAGUUGAUAUAGUAAUCAGUUGGUAUUUUAG